GGAAUCUUCCACAAUGGACGAAAGUCUGAUGGAGCAACACCGCGUGAGUGAAGAAGGGUUUCGGCUCGUAAAGCUCUGUUGUUUAAAGAAGAACACGUAUGAGAGUAACUGUUCAUACGUUGACGGUAUUUAACCAGAAAGUCACGGCUAACUACGUGCAAG
This 162-nucleotide ribosomal RNA is filed under the name uncultured bacterium. Its description in RNAcentral is "partial 16S ribosomal RNA". It matches the Rfam family "Bacterial small subunit ribosomal RNA", at positions 358 to 511 of the family's 1533-position model. The record is from RNAcentral.